AGGACGAACGCUGGCGGCGUGCUUAACACAUGCAAGUCGAGCGGAAAGGCCCUUCGGGGUACUCGAGCGGCGAACGGGUGAGUAACACGUGAGCAACCUGCCCCUGGCUCUGGGAUAGCCUCCGGAAACGGGGAUUAAUACCGGAUAUUCACUGCUUCCUGCAUGGGGGGUGGUGGAAAGUUUUUCGGCUAGGGCGGGGCUCGCGGCCUAUCAGCUUGUUGGGGGGGUGACGGCCCACCAAGGCGACGACGGGUAGCCGGCCUGAGAGGGCGACCGGCCACACUGGGACUGAGACACGGCCCAGACUCCUACGGGAGGCAGCAGUGGGGAAUAUUGCGCAAUGGGCGGAAGCCUGACGCAGCGACGCCGCGUGCGGGAUGAAGGCCUUCGGGUUGUAAACCGCUUUCACCAGGGACGAAGCGAGAGUGACGGUACCUGGGGAAGAAGCGCCGGCUAACUACGCGCCAGCAGCCGC
This 475-nucleotide ribosomal RNA is filed under the name uncultured bacterium. RNAcentral's name for it is "SSU rRNA". It matches the Rfam family "Bacterial small subunit ribosomal RNA", at positions 26 to 518 of the family's 1533-position model. The record is from RNAcentral.